This is a long non-coding RNA of Hypanus sabinus (Atlantic stingray), 1282 nucleotides long. RefSeq lists it as uncharacterized. The record is from RefSeq and is a predicted model, not a curated record. Lineage: Eukaryota; Metazoa; Chordata; Chondrichthyes; Myliobatiformes; Dasyatidae. The transcript is spliced from 4 exons.
AGAAAUCUCAGCAUCUACUUCAACACAGCAAGCUUCCAGAAACAAUAUAGUCAGUGGAAAUGUCAAUCCAUCGCCUCCUAUAUUGUCGCGAUGAGGCCACACUCAGAGCUAUCAAAAUUGAGAUACCUUCCUCCAGAUAAUUGCCUUCCAAAAAACUCUUGUCGUCCUGGUGUUUCUCCUGCUGAUUGUUAACACUGAGUUUUCCAAAGCCCGAGGGGUCAGACGACUUGAUAUCAGAUUCAACAGUAAUGCAGAGGGAAUUUCUUCACAGACAGCUGCACCAUAGACCCUGAAAGUGACAUCAGGAAUAUCUUCUCCGCAAGUUACAGUGAGCAUCUGGGUUAAAACUGAUCAACAGCACAAGGAAAAUAUGUGCGAAAGUCUGAGAUGCAUAUUCCCACAUAGCUGUCCAGAACACAGCAGGUAACCGUUUGGUAAGUAAAGAUCUGUUAAGAGCUCGUAAGAACAAUGCAUUCCAGUCAUCCACAACUCUCUGAGUCAAAAGCCUACCUCUCAUGUGCCCCUUGAACCCAUGCCUUCUCACUCUAGAUGCCUGCCCUUUGGUAUUUGACAUUUCAACCACGGGAAACAGAUACUCCCUGUCUAAUCUAUCUGUGCCUCUUUUAAUCUUAUAAACUUUUAUCUGAUCCCGCCUCAGUCUCUGGUGUUCCAGAGAAAACAUUUCAGCUUCCUUUCCAAUUGUAUCCAGUCUCAAUUGUAAGCCAAGCUGAUGCUGAGGAAAUACACCUCCAGAAAUAUGAUUUUGAUUUCUGCAAUGAGUAUGUGUGUGUAUGGCAAAUAUCCAUCAGCGUUUCCUGGUGAAUGAUUCAGAGCACACGACUAAUGAUAAGAGGAUGUUCAUCAUGACAUUGGAGUUGUUUCCUUCUGUGUAAUAAAGUACUUCUAUUUGCUGCAUCCGACUACCACUUCUGAGCUGUUAUAAUUUGGGAAUGAAAAAUGCUAAAAGUCCAAGUGCAACUAUUUUAUUUAUAUUUUCUGCCAAUUACACUACUGACAGUUAGGGCAGAAAUAAAUGUCUUCCUUCUCUGGCCGUGGUCAGGGCUUUCUUCACCAUGUCAGUAGCUUCCUCUUGGGUUUCAGUGCAGUCCAGUACACAUCCCACGUGGAGACUGAGGAGAAGCAUUACACUCAGAUCUAGAAUAAUUCUUCAUUGCUGUUUCUGGAGCAGUUUGGUCUUACCAGUCAGAGUUGUUAUUCCUUGGCUGAACGCCCAGACCCGUGGACCUCUCUUAGCCUGGCCUCUACUUAUUGACCUAUUUGG